AACGAACGCUGGCGGCAUGCCUAACACAUGCAAGUCGAACGAGAUCUUCGGGUCUAGUGGCGCACGGGUGCGUAACGCGUGGGAAUCUGCCCUUUGGUUCGGAAUAACAGUUGGAAACGACUGCUAAUACCGGAUGAUGACGAAAGUCCAAAGAUUUAUCGCCAGAGGAUGAGCCCGCGUAGGAUUAGCUAGUUGGUGGGGUAAAGGCGCACCAAGGCGACGAUCCUUAGCUGGUCUGAGAGGAUGAUCAGCCACACUGGGACUGAGACACGGCCCAGACUCCUACGGGAGGCAGCAGUGGGGAAGAUUGGACAAUGGGCGAAAGCCUGAGCCAGCAAUGCCGCGUGAGUGAUGAAGGCCUUAGGGUUGUAAAGCUCUUUUACCCGGGAUGAUAAUGACAGUACCGGGAGAAUAAGCUCCGGCUAACUCCGUGCCAGCCGCCGCCGUAA
This 449-nucleotide ribosomal RNA is filed under the name uncultured bacterium. RNAcentral describes it as "partial 16S ribosomal RNA". It matches the Rfam family "Bacterial small subunit ribosomal RNA", at positions 29 to 523 of the family's 1533-position model. The record is from RNAcentral.